This 380-nucleotide ribosomal RNA is filed under the name uncultured eukaryote. Its description in RNAcentral is "partial 18S ribosomal RNA". It matches the Rfam family "Eukaryotic small subunit ribosomal RNA", at positions 592 to 976 of the family's 1831-position model. The record is from RNAcentral.
CAAUAGCGUAUAUUAAAGUUGUUGCAGUUAGAACGCUCGUAGUCGGAUUUCGGGGCGGGCCGACCGGUCUGCCGAUGGGUACGCACUGGUCGGCGCGUCCUUCCUUCCGGAGACCGUUCCUACUCUUAACUGAGCGGGGGCGGGAGACGGAUCGUUUACUUUGAAAAAAUCAGAGUGUUUCAAGCAGGCAGCUCGCUCUUGCAUGGAUUAGCAUGGGAUAAUGAAAUAGGACUUUGGUGCUAUUUUGUUGGUUUCGAACACCGAAGUAAUGAUUAAAAGGGACAGUCAGGGGCACUCGUAUUCCGCCGAGAGAGGUGAAAUUCUCAGACCAGCGGAAGACGAACUACUGCGAAAGCAUUUGCCAGGGAUGUUNUCACUCA